AAUUUUGGACAAUGGGGGCAACCCUGAUCCAGCCAUCCCGCGUGUGCGAUGAAGGCCUUCGGGUUGUAAAGCACUGUUGGCAGGGACGAAAAGCCGCGGGUUAAUACCCAGCGGCGCUGACGGUACAUGCAGAAUAAGAACCGCCUAACUAGGCGCCAGCAGCCGCGGUAAUACGUAGGGUACAGGCGUUAAUAGGAAUAACUGGGCGUAAGGCGUGCGCAGGCUGUUCGGCAAGAAGGAUGAGAAAUCCCGGGGCUUAACCUCGGAACUGCAUUCUUAACUGCCGGGCUAGAGUAUGUCAGAGGGGGGUAGAAUUCCGCGUGUAGCAGUGAAAUGCGUAGAGAUGCGGAGGAAUACCGAUGGCGAAGGCAGCCCCCUGGGAUAAUACUGACGCUCAUGCACGAAAGCGUGGGGAGCAAAC
This 421-nucleotide ribosomal RNA is filed under the name uncultured bacterium. RNAcentral describes it as "partial 16S ribosomal RNA". It matches the Rfam family "Bacterial small subunit ribosomal RNA", at positions 360 to 773 of the family's 1533-position model. The record is from RNAcentral.